UGUUAAAAAUUUUGUCUAUUUGUACUGUUAAAAAUUAAUGUGAUUGAUGGAAUAAUUAGACAAUGAUACGUGGCAUAUCACUUGUAUCUUAUGUUGACCUAUAAGAAUUGAUUUUUAACAAUAAAAAUGAGUAAAACUUCUAAUA
This is a non-coding RNA of Gossypium hirsutum (cotton), 145 nucleotides long. The record is from Rfam. NCBI's taxonomy places the organism in Eukaryota, Viridiplantae, Streptophyta, Magnoliopsida, Malvales, Malvaceae.